UACGUAGGGGGCAAGCGUUAUCCGGAUUUAUUGGGUUUAAAGGGAGCGCAGGCCGAUGGUUAAGCGUGACGUGAAAUGUAGCCGCUCAACGGCUGAACUGCGUCGCGUACUGGCUAUCUUGAGUGAGUUCGAUGUUGGCGGAAUUCGUGGUGUAGCGGUGAAAUGCUUAGAUAUCACGAAGAACUCCGAUUGCGAAGGCAGCCAACAAGGCCUUUACUGACGCUAAAGCUCGAAGGUGCGGGUAUCGAAC
This 250-nucleotide ribosomal RNA is filed under the name uncultured prokaryote. RNAcentral describes it as "partial 16S ribosomal RNA". It matches the Rfam family "Bacterial small subunit ribosomal RNA", at positions 524 to 773 of the family's 1533-position model. The record is from RNAcentral.